Molecule: ribosomal RNA, 1346 nt
Filed under: uncultured bacterium
Lineage: Bacteria
Description: partial 16S ribosomal RNA
Rfam family: Bacterial small subunit ribosomal RNA
Source: RNAcentral
GACGAACGCUGGCGGCGUGCUUAACACAUGCAAGUCGAACGGAAAGGCCCUGCUUUUGUGGGGUGCUCGAGUGGCGAACGGGUGAGUAACACGUGAGUAACCUGCCCUUGACUUUGGGAUAACUUCAGGAAACUGGGGCUAAUACCGGAUAGGAGCUCCUGCUGCAUGGUGGGGGUUGGAAAGUUUCGGCGGUUGGGGAUGGACUCGCGGCUUAUCAGCUUGUUGGUGGGGUAGUGGCUUACCAAGGCUUUGACGGGUAGCCGGCCUGAGAGGGUGACCGGCCACAUUGGGACUGAGAUACGGCCCAGACUCCUACGGGAGGCAGCAGUGGGGAAUAUUGCACAAUGGGCGGAAGCCUGAUGCAGCAACGCCGCGUGCGGGAUGACGGCCUUCGGGUUGUAAACCGCUUUCGCCUGUGACGAAGCGUGAGUGACGGUAAUGGGUAAAGAAGCACCGGCUAACUACGUGCCAGCAGCCGCGGUGAUACGUAGGGUGCGAGCGUUGUCCGGAUUUAUUGGGCGUAAAGGGCUCGUAGGUGGUUGAUCGCGUCGGAAGUGUAAUCUUGGGGCUUAACCCUGAGCGUGCUUUCGAUACGGGUUGACUUGAGGAAGGUAGGGGAGAAUGGAAUUCCUGGUGGAGCGGUGGAAUGCGCAGAUAUCAGGAGGAACACCAGUGGCGAAGGCGGUUCUCUGGGCCCUUCCUGACGCUGAGGAGCGAAAGCGUGGGGAGCGAACAGGCUUAGAUACCCUGGUAGUCCACGCUGUAAACGGUGGGUACUAGGUGUGGGGUCCAUUCCACGGGUUCCGUGCCGUAGCUAACGCUUUAAGUACCCCGCCUGGGGAGUACGGCCGCAAGGCUAAAACUCAAAGGAAUUGACGGGGCCCCGCACAAGCGGCGGAGCAUGCGGAUUAAUUCGAUGCAACGCGUAGAACCUUACCUGGGUUUGACAUGGAUCGGGAGUGCUCAGAGAUGGGUGUGCCUCUUUUGGGGUCGGUUCACAGGUGGUGCAUGGCUGUCGUCAGCUCGUGACGUGAGAUGUUGGGUUAAGUCCCGCAACGAGCGCAACCCUUGUUCACUGUUGCCAGCACGUUAUGGUGGGGACUCAGUGGAGACCGCCGGGGUCAACUCGGAGGAAGGUGGGGAUGACGUCAAGUCAUCAUGCCCCUUAUGUCCAGGGCUUCACGCAUGCUACAAUGGCUGGUACAGAGAGUGGCGAGCCUGUGAGGGUGAGCGAAUCUCGGAAAGCCGGUCUCAGUUCGGAUUGGGGUCUGCAACUCGACCUCAUGAAGUCGGAGUCGCUAGUAAUCGCAGAUCAGCAACGCUGCGGUGAAUACGUUCCCGGGGCU